This 433-nucleotide ribosomal RNA is filed under the name uncultured bacterium. RNAcentral's name for it is "partial 16S ribosomal RNA". It matches the Rfam family "Bacterial small subunit ribosomal RNA", at positions 29 to 507 of the family's 1533-position model. The record is from RNAcentral.
AACGAACGCUGGCGGCAUGCCUAACACAUGCAAGUCGAACGAGAACUUCGGGUCUAGUGUCGCACGGGUGCGUAACGCGUGGGAAUCUGCCCUUGGGUUCGGAAUAACUCAGAGAAAGGGGUGCUAAUACCGGAUGAUGUCUAAAGACCAAAGAUUUAUCGCCCCGGGAUGAGCCCGCGUGGGAUUAGCUAGUUGGUGGGGUAAAGGCCUACCAAGGCGACGAUCCUUAGCUGGUCUGAGAGGAUGAUCAGCCACACUGGGACUGAGACACGGCCCAGACUCCUACGGGAGGCAGCAGUGGGGAAUAUUGGACAAUGGGCGAAAGCCUGAUCCAGCAAUGCCGCGUGAGUGAUGAAGGCCUUAGGGUUGUAAAGCUCUUUUACCCGGGAUGAUAAUGACAGUACCGGGAGAAUAAGCCCCGGCUAACUCCGUG